This 228-nucleotide ribosomal RNA is filed under the name Triticum aestivum (bread wheat). RNAcentral's name for it is "partial small subunit ribosomal RNA". Lineage: Eukaryota; Viridiplantae; Streptophyta; Magnoliopsida; Poales; Poaceae. The record is from RNAcentral.
AUGGACCAAACGGCGCUGCGGCCGCCAGACCGGUCGAAGACGUUGUGGCCGGAGCUGGUGGGCUACAAUACCAUCGCCGCUGGGAUCGUCAUCAUCAGAGACAGGCCCGACGUGCACGUCGAGUACUUCACCGUCGGUGGGGCUCCGCCAUCGCCACCGGAACCCAAACGCGUCAUCAUCUUUACAGACGGCCAGAUCACCGUCGUCUUCCCACCAUUCGUCGGCUAG